Long non-coding RNA from Oreochromis aureus, 498 nucleotides. Lineage: Eukaryota; Metazoa; Chordata; Actinopteri; Cichliformes; Cichlidae. The record is from Ensembl.
AGCACGAGGACUAAAAGCAACCUCUUAUUGGCUGCAUUGGUAGGAACAACUUUUUAGAAGUUUAGGUUUUAUUUAACAUAUUCCUUAAUAUUUUCCUAUUAUUCGGGUAAGGAGGUAUUUUAGCUCCGAAGGAACUCAAGCUUUACAGAAAAGUGAAACAGCUGCUGGACCGUUUCUAAUUGAGGUGAGCCGGGCUACUGACAGGUUGCAGAGUACAUCGUGUUAUUGGGAGUCUGUGUUGCCAGCAAACCCAGAGAGAGUCUGCGUGCUGAGAGACGACCAGGGGGAAAUUAGCCUCUUGCCUUCUGGAUAGUUUCACUGGAGGCAGCCAGAUCGGCAUGAAAUUAGCUCAGUUUGAAUCUUUAUAUGGUCCAAUCAGAUGAGCUGAGAUUUAAUCUUUGCUGGCCUGCCCUACCAGAGUCCGACCCCUCAGAUGAAAUGGACUACAUAUUCAUAGGUUCACUUGCAUGGUUGAUUAUAGCAGCAUAGAUGGAAGGU